RNAcentral lists this ribosomal RNA (462 nucleotides) under Starmerella bacillaris. RNAcentral describes it as "eukaryotic LSU rRNA". The stretch from base 155 to 303 matches the Rfam family "5.8S ribosomal RNA". The record is from RNAcentral. Lineage: Eukaryota; Fungi; Ascomycota; Dipodascomycetes; Dipodascales; Trichomonascaceae.
UUCCGUAGGUGAACCUGCGGAAGGAUCAUUUCUGAAGGCUUUUUGCCAAAACCACUGUGAACAGCUUAGACUUCGGUCUUUGCAAUUGCUUGGGUGUCGAAAGGCGCCCAAUCUUUAAAACUUUUAUAUUUGUUCUGAAACAAUGAAAAUUUAAAACUUUCAACAACGGAUCUCUUGGUUCUCGUAUCGAUGAAGAACGCAGCAAAGCGCGAUAGGUAAUGCGAAUUGCAGACGUGAGUCAUUGAAUUUUUGAACGCAUAUUGCGCUAUUAGUUUGUCUAAUAGCAUGCUUGUUGGAGUGAUAAUCUUCCUCUCAACCAUUUUUGGUAUGAGGUCUUGCUCCUUUUAGGAGUUAAAAUCAUGGAAGUGCACACGUUAAUUAACUCUGUGCAGUUAUACACUUUUCAUCCUCCAAUCAAGCAAGGUUACCCGCUGAACUUAAGCAUAUCAAUAAGCGGAGGAA